Molecule: ribosomal RNA, 253 nt
Filed under: uncultured Rikenellaceae bacterium
Lineage: Bacteria; Pseudomonadati; Bacteroidota; Bacteroidia; Bacteroidales; Rikenellaceae
Description: partial 16S ribosomal RNA
Rfam family: Bacterial small subunit ribosomal RNA
Source: RNAcentral
UACGGAGGAUCCGAGCGUUAUCCGGAUUUAUUGGGUUUAAAGGGUGCGUAGGCGGUCAGGUAAGUUAGAGGUGAAAGCUCGAUGCUCAACAUCGAAACUGCCUCUGAUACUGUCUGACUAGAGUGUAGUUGCGGAAGGCGGAAUGUGUGGUGUAGCGGUGAAAUGCAUAGAUAUCACGCAGAACUCCGAUUGCGAAGGCAGCUUACUAAGCCAUAACUGACACUGAAGCACGAAAGCGUGGGGAUCAAACAGG